Molecule: ribosomal RNA, 245 nt
Filed under: uncultured bacterium
Lineage: Bacteria
Description: partial small subunit ribosomal RNA
Rfam family: Bacterial small subunit ribosomal RNA
Source: RNAcentral
AGAAUCAACGCUGGCGGCGUGCCUAACACAUGCAAGUCGAACGAGAAAGUGGAGCAAUCCAUGAGUACAGUGGCGUACGGGUGAGUAACACGUGACUAACCUACCCUCGAGUGGGGAAUAACCUCGGGAAACCGGGGCUAACACCGCAUAACAUCUACGGAUCAAAUGCGUAAGCAGCUUGAGGAGGGGGUCGCGGCUGAUUAGCUAGUUGGCGGGGUAAUGGCCCACCAAGGCAGUGAUCAGUA